UACGUAGGGAGCAAGCGUUGUUCGGAAUCACUGGGCGUAAAGGGCGCGUAGGCGGCCGAUCAAGUCGGGGGUGAAAGCCUGUGGCUCAACCACAGAAUGGCCUUCGAUACUGGUUGGCUCGAGACCGGAAGAGGUGAGUGGAACUGCGAGUGUAGAGGUGAAAUUCGUAGAUAUUCGCAAGAACACCAGUGGCGAAGGCGGCUCACUGGUCCGGUUCUGACGCUGAGGCGCGAAAGCGUGGGGAGCAAACAGG
RNAcentral lists this ribosomal RNA (253 nucleotides) under uncultured bacterium. RNAcentral's name for it is "partial 16S ribosomal RNA". It matches the Rfam family "Bacterial small subunit ribosomal RNA", at positions 524 to 776 of the family's 1533-position model. The record is from RNAcentral.